GUUGGGAACUAGGUGUGGGUCUCAUUCCACGAGAUCCGUGCCGCAGCUAACGCAUUAAGUUCCCCGCCUGGGGAGUACGGCCGCAAGGCUAAAACUCAAAGGAAUUGACGGGGGCCCGCACAAGCGGCGGAGCAUGCGGAUUAAUUCGAUGCAACGCGAAGAACCUUACCAAGGCUUGACAUACACCGGAAUCACUCAGAGAUGGGUGCGUCUUCGGACUGGUGUACAGGUGGUGCAUGGUUGUCGUCAGCUCGUGUCGUGAGAUGUUGGGUUAAGUCCCGCAACGAGCGCAACCCUCGUUCUAUGUUGCCAGCACGUCAUGGUGGGGACUCAUAGGAGACUGCCGGGGUCAACUCGGAGGAAGGUGGGGAUGACGUCAAAUCAUCAUGCCCCUUAUGUCUUGGGCUUCACGCAUGCUACAAUGGCCGGUACAAAGGGCUGCGAAACCGCGAGGUGGAGCGAAUCCCAAAAAACCGGUCUCAGUUCGGAUUGGGGUCUGCAACUCGACCCCAUGAAGUCGGAGUCGCUAGUAAUCGCAGAUCAGCAACGCUGCGGUGAAUACGUUCCCGGGCCUUGUACACACCGCCCGUCAAGUCACGAAAGUCGGUAACACCCGAAGCCGGUGGCCCAACCCUUGUGGGGGGAGCCGUCGAAGGUGGGACUGGCGAUUGGGACUAAGUCGUAACAAGGUAGCCGUACCGGAAGGUGC
This 709-nucleotide ribosomal RNA is filed under the name Terrabacter tumescens. RNAcentral describes it as "bacterial SSU rRNA". It matches the Rfam family "Bacterial small subunit ribosomal RNA", at positions 808 to 1515 of the family's 1533-position model. Lineage: Bacteria; Bacillati; Actinomycetota; Actinomycetes; Micrococcales; Intrasporangiaceae. The record is from RNAcentral.